Molecule: long non-coding RNA, 1669 nt
Organism: Acanthochromis polyacanthus (spiny chromis)
Lineage: Eukaryota; Metazoa; Chordata; Actinopteri; Pomacentridae
Exons: 3
Source: RefSeq, a predicted model, not a curated record
CCUGGGUGGCGCGUCGGCCGGCGUCGGGUGCUCGGGGCGGCCGGCGGUCAGAGGCGGCAGCAGCGUGCGGGUCUGUCCGGCGGAGCUGGGCUUGCAGAGAGGAGAGACGCGGUCGUACGCAUAGCGCCGGAGCGGAUCUGAAUCAGAUCUUCAGAUCUUCAUCCAACCACUGAUCUGCGCUCAGAUUUCAUCUCAGAUCAAUGGAAGCCAGAGCUCCGGAGUAAGAGAGAGACGUCCUCGUUAACAAGGCAGAGGGGAAAACAACUAAAUGACGUCCCUGAAGCUGUUGGCGCUGAUGGAUGGAAAUGAGGCAGCAUGUGACUAAUCCCUGGACUGCUUUGGAUGAGGUCUUUGUGAAGGUUAAAAAAAAGACUCACAUGGAAGUGCAAAAGGGAAACAUCACAGAUUUUACACAUCAAAGUCUGUUCAAAACAUGUAUGAAGCUUUCAGCCGCAAGAGGCUACAUUAGCCGCUGCUAACAAAACAUAGUAGUGGACAAAAGUUUUCAAACAUCCCAUACAUUUGUGAAAUAUGGCAUUAAGAAUCACUCUGAGGUCUUCAAGUGCAGUUUCUUUUGGGAUUGUCACAUUCGAAAAUACAUAAGAAAUUUUGAGAAUUGGGUCAUUUUGGUAGCAGUGAUCCACUAAUGAAGGUCCUGCUUUUAAUUAAAAGACACAAUUUUUGUUGCCGUGCUUCAUGUCCAUAGAAAACCAGCACAUCUGAAAAUUCUUCAAAGACAAAAAUGGAUAAAACAAGGAAUCUAAUGCAGGAAACACAACUAAAGAUACAUAUUCUCAGCCAGGAAGGUACAGCUGCCACCAGAUAGCCAGGAAGUGCAGAUGCAGUCCUUCAUCAUUUGGAUACACUCUGCAGAAAUACAGAUGAACCAACAGCGUGAAAGAUAAACCAAGAUCUGGGCGUCAAAGGGUUCUUCAGGAAGAAAUGACUGCAUCCUGAUCCACAUGUGCAGAGAAAACCACUCAGUGACAUCACAGGAGCUUCAGCAGCAGUGGUCAAACCAAUCUGGUGUCCAGUGUUCCACCUGCAUUAAAUGUGAUCAGCUUUUAGAUGAUGGCUUAACGUCCUACAAGGCUGUCAAGAAGCCCCUGAUCAAUGACAGAGAGAGGUUAGCCCAUCGCAAGCACACAAGAACUGGACAGUCAGGAACUGGAAGAGAAUCAGAUGAGUCAGAUGAGUCCAGUUUCCAGCUUUAUCUUCCUCCUGCUAAUGUGAGGGUACAAAGACGACCAGGCGAAGCGUCAUCUCCAGCUUGUACAGUACCUACUGUCAGGCAUGGUGGAGGCAGUAUCAUGGUUUGGGGAUGCAGAGUGCUGCUGGUGUUGGUCGUCUCACAUUGAACUCUGCCAAGUAUUGUGUCAUUGUCCAAACCCACUGCUCCCUUCUGCACAUGCUCUGUUCCAUGGACAUCGUGAUCAAAUCCCAUUAUGUAUUAAAUACUUAACUGUGCAUAUUAAGGACAGAAAAAUAAUCAUUUUGCAGAUUGUAUAUGUGUGUAUAGAAAUAUCAUGUUAUGUGUUAAUUAUGUAUAAUAAAGACAGAAAAAUUGUAUUUCUAAUUGUCAUUGUGCCAAAUAUGUUUGUAAAUGUGGAAAAAUCACAUCAUGUAUUAAUUAAAGAUGUAUAAUAAAGACAGAUUUUUUUCAUUUUCA